Molecule: long non-coding RNA, 483 nt
Filed under: Pan troglodytes (chimpanzee)
Lineage: Eukaryota; Metazoa; Chordata; Mammalia; Primates; Hominidae
Description: lncRNA (ENSPTRG00000052907.1)
Source: RNAcentral
GAAGUAUCAUUCCUUGAUUCAGGAUCAGGCUCAAGAGUUAACCCACCUACGGCAGAAGAUGAAGCUUGGGAGAGUGGCCUCUGCUCUUCUCAUCCAGCAUGUCAAGAACACACUAAAGACCUUUGAGGAGCUACUCCAGAGCAAUAACAUUGACCACUAUAUGGAGCAGCACUACUGCGAGCAGCUGGCCAAAGGAAGCCAGCUGGCAGAGAGCCUUGCCAGAAAAUUCAGCACAGAUGACUGUACAAGUAAGAAGAAUCAAGUAGGACAGGUGUCUUCGACUCUCAGGUACUGCACAGUCCACUGUAGCCCCUCAUUCAUAUACUCAGAGUCACUCUUCUGGCUGUGGCGAGGACAUCCUGUGACAUGAUGCCUAGAGAGUCUGGAAGAAUGUUCUCCAGAACUUUUCCAGCCCUAUCCAACAGAAUUCUUGGGUGGGAACUUGGAGGCACUGGAUAUUAUCUUUAAAUGAAGAGAUCAAAU